UACGUAGGGGGCGAGCGUUGUCCGGAUUUAUUGGGCGUAAAGAGCGCGUAGGUGGUUUGUAAAGUCGGAUGUGAAAGUCCAGGGCUCAACCCUGGGAUGCCAUUCGAUACUUGCAAACUAGAGCACGGUAGGGGGAUCUGGAAUUCCUGGUGUAGCGGUGAAAUGCGCAGAUAUCAGGAGGAACACCGGUGGCGAAGGCGGGAUCCUGGGCCGUUGCUGACACUGAGGCGCGAAAGCUGGGGGAGCGAACAGG
Molecule: ribosomal RNA, 253 nt
Filed under: uncultured bacterium
Lineage: Bacteria
Description: partial 16S ribosomal RNA
Rfam family: Bacterial small subunit ribosomal RNA
Source: RNAcentral